Molecule: ribosomal RNA, 777 nt
Filed under: uncultured Neocallimastigales
Lineage: Eukaryota; Fungi; Neocallimastigomycota; Neocallimastigomycetes; Neocallimastigales
Description: partial large subunit ribosomal RNA
Rfam family: Eukaryotic large subunit ribosomal RNA
Source: RNAcentral
AGAGAUGUGUGAUGACGCAUAUCAAUAAGCGGAGGAAAAGAAACUAACAAGGAUUCCCUUAGUAACGGUGAGUGAAGCGGGAAGAGCUCAAAUUUGAAAUCUUCAAGGUUCUACCUUGACGAAUUGUAGUUUAUAGAAGUGUUUUCUGUUAGUGGAGUGGCAAAAGUUCUUUGGAAUAGGACAUCAUAGAGGGUGAGAAUCCCGUAUUUGGUCAUUCCUUCUAGCGUUGUGAUACACUUUCAAAGAGUCGGAUUGUUUGGGAAUGCAGUCCAAAAUGGGUGGUAAAUUUCAUCUAAAGCUAAAUAUUGGCGAGAGACCGAUAGCGAACAAGUACCGUGAGGGAAAGAUGAAAAGAACUUUGAAAAGAGAGUUAAACAGUACGUGAAAUUGUCAAAAGGGAAGCGUUUGACACCAGUGUUGUUUUUCCGAAAAUCAAUUACGAAUGUUUUAGUUUUUGAGGAGUUAUGACUUCAUCGGCUUGCUCCUUUCUUUAUCGAAACUUUCUUAAUGCACUUUUCGGAUUAACAAGUCAACAUCAAUUUCUUUUGUUGUAAAAGGGUAUGAGGAAGGUGGCUCUCUUUUCGGAGAAAGUGUUUAUAGCCUUGUGCCUCUGCAAUCGGAGAGAUUGAGGUCUGCAGCGUAGAUCCUUCGGGGUUAGAUACAUUUGUGCUAAGUUAUAGCUUUUCAUAGACAACUUGUUGACUAUGUUUAGUCUUGUAGCUUACUCGCUUAUGCUAUUUUACCUACGCUUAGGAUGUUGAACUCUAUCACACACAG